This 498-nucleotide ribosomal RNA is filed under the name uncultured bacterium. Its description in RNAcentral is "partial 16S ribosomal RNA". It matches the Rfam family "Bacterial small subunit ribosomal RNA", at positions 28 to 507 of the family's 1533-position model. The record is from RNAcentral.
GACGAACGCUGGCGGCGUGCCUAAUACAUGCAAGUCGAACGAGAGCGACCGGUGCUUGCACUGGUCAAUCUAGUGGCGAACGGGUGAGUAACACGUGGGUAACCUGCCCAUCAGAGGGGGAUAACAUCCGGAAACGGAUGCUAAAACCGCAUAGGUCUUCGAACCGCAUGGUUUGAAGAGGACAAGAGGCGCAAGCUUCUGCUGAUGGAUGGACCCGCGGUGCAUUAGCUAGUUGGUGAGGUAACGGCUCACCAAGGCCGUGAUGCAUAGCCGACCUGAGAGGGUGAUCGGCCACAGUGGGACUGAGACACGGCCCAAACUCCUACGGGAGGCAGCAGUAGGGAAUCUUCCGAAAUGGACGCAAGUCUGACGGAGCAACGCCGCGUGAGUGAAGAAGGUUUUCGGAUCGUAAAACUCUGUUGUUAGAGAAGAACAAGUGCUAGAGUAACUGUUAGCGCCUUGACGGUAUCUAACCAGAAAGCCACGGCUAACUACGUG